Molecule: ribosomal RNA, 369 nt
Filed under: Triticum aestivum (bread wheat)
Lineage: Eukaryota; Viridiplantae; Streptophyta; Magnoliopsida; Poales; Poaceae
Description: partial small subunit ribosomal RNA
Source: RNAcentral
AUGGUUACCACUCAAGUAGAACAAGUACUUAAAGCUCAGAAUGAUUUGCUCAAUGAAUUAAAUAGUAAGAAUAAUAACUAUGCUGUUAGAGUGGCUACUAGAACUGGUAAAAUGACUCAGGAACCUUUAUAUCCUGAAGGCCACCCUAAGAGAAUUGAGCAGGAUUCUCAGAGAAAUAAUAUUGAUGCACCUAGUCCUUCUAAAAAGAAGAAAAAGAAAAAUGAUAGGACUUUGCAUGCUUCUAGUGAACCUGUUGUAGACACACCUGAGAAUCCCAAUGAUAUUUCUAUUUAUGAUGCUGAAACACAAUCUGGUAAUGAACAUGAACCUAGUGAUAAUGUUAAUGAUGAUGUUCAUGUUGAUGCUUAA